GCACAACGCGAAGAACCUUACCUACUCUUGACAUCCAGAGAACUUAGCAGAGAUGCUUUGGUGCCUUCGGGAACUCUGAGACAGGUGCUGCAUGGCUGUCGUCAGCUCGUGUUGUGAAAUGUUGGGUUAAGUCCCGCAACGAGCGCAACCCUUAUCCUUUGUUGCCAGCGGUCCGGCCGGGAACUCAAAGGAGACUGCCAGUGAUAAACUGGAGGAAGGUGGGGAUGACGUCAAGUCAUCAUGGCCCUUACGAGUAGGGCUACACACGUGCUACAAUGGCGUAUACAAAGAGAAGCGACCUCGCGAGAGCAAGCGGACCUCAUAAAGUACGUCGUAGUCCGGAUUGGAGUCUGCAACUCGACUCCAUGAAGUCGGAAUCGCUAGUAAUCGUAGAUCAGAAUGCUACGGUGAAUACGUUUCCGGGUCUUGUACACACCG
Molecule: ribosomal RNA, 438 nt
Filed under: uncultured bacterium
Lineage: Bacteria
Description: bacterial SSU rRNA
Rfam family: Bacterial small subunit ribosomal RNA
Source: RNAcentral